RNAcentral lists this long non-coding RNA (412 nucleotides) under Pongo abelii (Sumatran orangutan). Its description in RNAcentral is "lincRNA". Lineage: Eukaryota; Metazoa; Chordata; Mammalia; Primates; Hominidae. The record is from RNAcentral.
GGCUCCUGGGCCUCCUGCUCGGCCUCCGCGCUGCUAGAUCCCCCGAGAGUUGAUGUGGCCGGCGCUGGACCCGAGCCUCGCCUGGGGGGACGAAGUGGCCCCCGGCCCCCCAUCAAAGCCCGCGUGGGCCCCAUCCCCCGAGGGCAGUCCCAGGCCCAGCGCGGACACUGGGCGCCUGGGGCGGCGCAGAUACAGAGUAGAGGCGGCGACUGUUGCUCCCGAGCUCCGCGCUCCGGAUACAAUGUGUCUGGCGCCUCCGACCCGCCCGCGCCGCGUCUAGACAAUCGCAGAGAAAACCGCUGUGCGCCGAUUUUGCACUACAGAUUAGCGAUUUUCUCCUGUAGCAAAGCUACUAGCAGCCAAUUUCCAUGCAUUUGAGAGGUAAAAAAGAUAAAAUAAAACGUGAAUUGGG